RNAcentral lists this ribosomal RNA (253 nucleotides) under uncultured bacterium. RNAcentral describes it as "partial 16S ribosomal RNA". It matches the Rfam family "Bacterial small subunit ribosomal RNA", at positions 524 to 776 of the family's 1533-position model. The record is from RNAcentral.
UACGGGGGGGGCAAGCGUUGUUCGGAAUUACUGGGCGUAAAGGGCUCGUAGGCGGCCAACUAAGUCAGACGUGAAAUCCCUCGGCUUAACCGGGGAACUGCAUCUGAUACUGGAUGGCUUGAGUUCGGGAGAGGGAUGCGGAAUUCCAGGUGUAGCGGUGAAAUGCGUAGAUAUCUGGAGGAACACCGGUGGCGAUGGCGGCAUCCUGGACCGACACUGACGCUGAGGAGCGAAAGCCAGGGGAGCAAACGGG